AAGAAGUGUUAGCGAAGAUAAAAGCAAUGGAGGAAGACUACGGCAUGAAAAAGAAUUUAGUGAAAGAGGUCUACGAGCAGAUGAUAACCUCACUGAACAAUUAUCACGAAGGGCUUAGAAAUGGCGCACAUGCUGUGCUGAACGCUUUUUCAGAUUCUGAAGAUACGAAUAAUGCCAAUGAAGUGUUUGGAUGUGAUGAUCCGACGCCAAAUGAAGUAAUGCUAGAAGUUAAGUAAAUACAAACGAUAAAAGUUAGCGUGAUUUUGUUUUAUAGCUGAAA
Molecule: long non-coding RNA, 280 nt
Organism: Xenia sp. Carnegie-2017
Lineage: Eukaryota; Metazoa; Cnidaria; Anthozoa; Malacalcyonacea; Xeniidae
Exons: 3
Source: RefSeq, a predicted model, not a curated record